Long non-coding RNA from Equus quagga, 437 nucleotides. RefSeq lists it as uncharacterized. The record is from RefSeq and is a predicted model, not a curated record. Lineage: Eukaryota; Metazoa; Chordata; Mammalia; Perissodactyla; Equidae. The transcript has 2 exons.
UAAAGUCAUCCCCCACCGGCACUCGCUGCAAUCCACUCUUCUCCGCCCUCCUUUCCUAUUUAACGUGGCUUCUGUGAAAGCCCCAGCCUGUCUCAUCUGUACCAGGAACAACGGAGGGUUUUUGAACUUUGGGUUCUGACUGCCAGGGCAGACUAUUCCAGAAUAAUUGGAACACACCUGAGGCCAGCAGAGCAGAGUGCUAACGGCAGGAAGAAGGGCCCAGGUGAAAUGCAGGAAAGUAGAAUGAAGAGGGCUGGGGUUAAAGACGGAAGCUGAAGUUCCCAGUCAGUGGAUUGAAAUGUCGUGGAGUGAUAUUGGUCUGGCCGGGCAUAAGUGCUGUCCUCUGAUGCAUGUCUGCCUUCGAGGUUCCUGAAGCUUCCUGUCUGCUCCCGAGGAAGCAGCUCUCAUUUGCAUUGACUUCCCACAACUUCCUCCAG